Molecule: long non-coding RNA, 18542 nt
Filed under: Daucus carota (carrot)
Lineage: Eukaryota; Viridiplantae; Streptophyta; Magnoliopsida; Apiales; Apiaceae
Description: long non-coding RNA (DCAR_LNC002600)
Source: RNAcentral
ACUGGACUGGCAUUACUUGUAACUCUGCAGGUUCAGUCUCUGAGAUUAACCUUUAUGAGAAACAACUUGAUGGAAUGCUGUCCGAGUUUAGUUUCACUUCAUUUCCAAAUCUUAACAGUCUCACUCUCGCAUACAACUUCUUCUCGGGUCCAAUACCACCAGCCAUUGAGAAUUUAACACAGCUUCAAUAUCUUGAUUUAAGCAUCAAUAGUCUCGAUGGUCUCAUUCCGUUCCAGGUUAGCCAUCUUCAGAGGUUGCUCGUCUUAAACCUGUCACAGAAUGCAUUGCAAGCUCCAAAUUGGUCCCAAUUCUCUCCCAUGCCCUUUUUGUGCAGCCUCAACCUCAGUAGCAAUCCUCUUGCGUCGAAAUUCCCAAAUUUCAUAUCCAAUUCUCAUGGCCUGACUCACCUUAGCCUUGAUCAAAACGAGUUUACAGGUGAUUUAGCGCGUGAAUCAAUAUUUGCCAAUCUGCAUAAUCUUGAAGUCCUCAGUCUUGUUGGCAAUUCUUUUGAGGGGCCAUUUCUGCCAAAUAUAUUCAAGCUUUCCAAAUUAAAACGUCUCACCCUGUCAAGUAACAAAUUUUUAGGAUCAAUUCCCAAUGACAUAAGGUUGCUUUGUGAUCUUGAAUUCCUGUAUUUAGGAAACAAUUCUUUUGAAGGACCGCUUCCACCAAAUAUAUUCAAGCUUUCAAAAUUAAAACAUCUUGUUCUUUGGAGUAAUAAGUUUUCAGGUUCUGUUUCCAAUGAUAUAGGUUUGCUUUCUGCGCUUGAACUUUUGAAUCUUCACUCUAAUUUUUUUGAGGGGCCGCUUCCGCCAAAUGUAUUCAAGCUCUCUAAACUAAGGUUUCUUAACCUCUGGGGUAACAACUUUUCAGGUUCUGUUUCCAAUGAUAUAGGUUUGCUUCCGGAGCUAGAAAUCCUCAAUCUUCACUCUAAUUUUUUUGAGGGCCGCUUCCGCCAAAUAUAUUCAAGCUCUCUAAACUAAGGUUUCUUAACCUUUGGGGUAAUAACUUUUCAGGUUCUGUUUCCAAUGAUAUAGGUUUGCUUCCUGAGCUAGAAUUCCUCAAUCUUCACUCUAAUUUUUUUGAGGGUCCGCUUCCGCCAAAUGUAUUCAAGCUCUCUAAACUAAAGUUUCUUCAUCUUCGAGGUAAUAAGUUUUCAGGUUCUGUUUCCAAUGAUAUAGGUUUGCUUCCUGAGCUUGAAAUCCUCAAUCUUCGCUCUAAUUUUUUUGAGGGGCCGCUUCCGCCAAAUGUAUUCAAGCUCUCCAAACUAAGGUUUCUUUCCCUUAAGGAAAAUAAAUUUUCAGGUUCUGUUUCCAAUGAUAUAGGUUUCCUUUCUGAGCUUGAAUACCUAUAUCUUGACUAUAAUUUAUUUGAAGGAAGUAUUCCUAUUGGACUGGGACUCUUGACUAACCUCAGCUACUUAGAUCUAAGUUCCAAUAAUCUCAGUGGCUAUAUUCCAUCUGACAUUGGAAACCUGAAGCUACUAGUAUUUCUUGAUCUCAGUUCUAACCAAUUGACUGGACCGCUUUUAAAGAUCGUUUCUAAUCUCACAAAUCUUAUGAAUCUUGAUGUAAGUGAUAAUAGUCUUAGUGGAAAUAUUCAGAGUGACUUGUGGAAGAACUCUAUAUCCUUACGUUACAUUAAUUUUGCAAAUAAUUAUUUGUCUGGGAACAUUCCUAAGGAAUACAACGAUCAUCCAACUUUGGAAUACAUCAAUUUAAGUGGGAACCAUUUUACAGGUAUAUUUUUCUCUAUAUAUCUUUUCCUUUUCUCAUAUGUAACUAAGCUGGUAAUCUGAUUAUUGCAGUUUUACCAAAGUUUCAACAAUCUUGACAGGUGAGCUUCCAACAACAAUUUGCAAUGUCACUUCCCUUGCGGUUCUUGUUUUGUCAAAUAAUGGAUUAAGUGGAGCACUUCCAAAUUGUUUCGGGAAACUUGCUGAUAGAUUGCUUUCCAUUAAUCUUGCUAAUAAUCAGUUUCGAGGAACAAUACCAACUACUUUCUCCAGGAGUUGUCAGGUGAAAUAUCUAAACAUGGAUAAUAAUGAGUUUGAAGGAUUCUUGCCCCCAUCUUUGGCGAACUGUAAGCACUUGAAAAUUCUUGAUAUUGGCAAUAACAAAAUAGGUGGUCCAUUUCCGUCAUGGCUUUAUGUACUUGGAGAGAUAGAAGUCCUUGUCUUGCGAUUAAAUAAACUCUAUGGUACAAUAAGUGGAAGGAGCGUAAAAGAUCCCUUCCCCAAGUUGCGGAUUGUGGAUCAAUAGACAUCGGCUAAAAAGCGAUGUCUAUGUAAAAUCAGACCGAUGUCUUCGUGGGUGAUGAGAAAAGUAAGUGCAUUACACAUCGCUUUCUAGCCGAUGUCUAUAACCUAUUUACACAUCGUUUAAUAUGACAAUCUGAUGUAUUUUUUAACAGUAGAUACCUUCACUAUAAUUUCAGUUCCUCAUUCCUAUGCCCUCUAUAUCAUUUUAAACUUGUCACAUGCUUAAUAAAAUGAUACUUUAACAUCUUAAAACUUGUAAAAUAGAUGUAUAUGAUAACCUUUUACAUCAUGCUUUUAUAGGAAGUGAUGUGGUACCCUUCUUUUCUUUAAGAAAGCGAUGUCUUUGUUCUUGUUUUACAUCAGUGAUUUUUAUACUCUGAUAUCUAUUAUAUAGUUUAACAUCAGGCUUUUUCUUGUUAACUGAUAUGUAUUCAUUCUUAUGACAUCGCUUACUAAGUGAUGUAAAUGUUAGUUUUAAAUUGCCAUGAAUCCUCCUGUUUCUUAUGAAUCCCCCUGUUUCAUUUAAAUUUCCAACAAAUUCCAAAACAACACCAAAGCUAUACUAAUUAAACAACCAAUUACCAAUGUCUAGCCUACCAUAACAGAACUAAAACAAAACUAGCUAGCAAAACAAUACUUCCGCAAAAGCCAAAUAUAUUACCAUCAAUCAUUACCAAUCAAAUUACAUCCCACAAUCAAAGAAACUGCACAAAUCCUAAAUAUUAACCAAGCAACCAUAAUUUACAAGCAGUUCACCACGUACUCCAGCAACCAUAAUUUACCAACUACAUUUCCCUCCAUUUAUCAACAAAAUCUACUUAGCUAGCUAGUGUCACUGUCUUACAUAAACUGAACUAAUUAAAGGAAACCAAAGUUCUCCAAUAAACCAAAGGCCUGUUUAUAAGAAGGACUCGAUAUGGCUAAGUGUCUCAAACCGAACCUCGUCAAGCUCAGCCUUGGAACAAAUCACUUUUCGAUUCUUGGAUGCCCACUGAAAAAUGUAAAACAAUAACAUUGAAUUAUACCUAAAUUUAUAUGUACACCAUUUAAUUAUAUCAACAAUGGAUUAGGCAAAGAAAAAUACCCUUUUAAAAAAUGUCAUUUCAUUGUCCAUGACAAUCUCUUUCAUAUACCGCAUAAUAACAUAGCCGCAUUCAGUUCCACCGGGCUGUUUAGGACAUCCCUAUUUAACCAAAAAAAACUCAAAAUAGUAAGUAAAGUAAUGCCCCUGGUUCUAAGCAUCAGUAGCACAAAUUGUUAAAAAUAAAUACGAAAGCUUACUGUAAUAUAUUUGAAGCUUGGGGCUUUAUUUCCCCUUCCGGCCUGAACAUUGAAAGUAAUCACAGCCCUGUCAUCUUGGCAGUGUUAAUAAUGCACAUGCAUUUAUAUCUCCAUAAGAAAGAUAAUCAAUAAAAAAAUAAAUGAAAAUACCUUGAUAUUGCUUUUUCCAAGUUGGGGAAACUAGUUGAACGAGGCAGAGGAUUAAGUAUGAAAACCUCGCCACCCCAAAACAGAACCAAUACCCAAUGGAAACUAUUUUUAACAAAUAUUUAUGAAAAACACAAUUACUAUCAAAAUCAUAUAAAUUUUAUUUUCAGUCAUGUAAAAAACUAAAUAAAAGAGAUUUAUAAUAAAUAAGAAAACACUUAAGCUACUUACUUGCUAUUAUGCGGCAUCAAAAAGAGACGAUCAGGAUUACCCUCUUUAAAUCGAUUAACCAAGUUAUCUUCAAAAGAAUUGUUCAUCAAGUUCAGCGAGGCUCCAGGAUCACAAAAAGCAAAUUGAUCCUUAGUGCCAUUUUCACGAACCACGCAAUGCAAGUAUCUACAUUGUAAAUGAAAUGAAAUUAUAUAAAAUUACACGAAUAUGAAUUAUAACUAAACAACAGUCAUGAUCUAGAAGACAGUAAUUAAAAAAAGUUUACUCACGCCAUGUAUGCAGCAAUUGCUGCUUGGCCAAUCAUAUUAAACUCCAGCAAGGCGACUAUGUUUUCAUACAAGAUGAAGAUUCUUUUCUCGAUACCAAACACCUCAGCAUCACACGGGAUUUGAAUUGAGUCUCCGGAGGAUUGCAUAAAUGUUGUUGCAUGUUUAUACAACAACCGAAAGCGUUUUGGAACAUUUUUAUUGAUCUCCAUGUUAUGAAACAAGGACUGGACUUUAUCUAAAUCGGUUUUAGGUUCCUUUACUUUCCGUUUACCUUUCUGAAAAAUGAACAAAAUUAAUUUAAAACAAAAUAUAACAAAAUAUAGGGGUAACAUAUAAUAGUACAAUCCAGUACAACAAUUAUGUUAAAGUACACACCAUAGUAGGAAUAGUAGGAGGGGCAUUUGGGAAUAUGAUCAAGUCGCGGGGCCAUGAGACGUACGAGCCAACAGCUUGCUCUACUGUUUCAAUCUCACCUGGUACCGGUUUAGGAAUCUUGGCUUGUCCUUGAAUUGGGCCAUCCACUGAGACGCGAACACAUCCAGGCUCUAUCGGCACUCCAUGUAUAGAUUUGUUCAUGUUAUCAUCAUCAAACAACAAACCAAAUGCCACUUUAUUUUCUAUUGUGCCUACAGCCAACUCACAUUUUCGUGGACCGGCCUACACACAUAUAUUUAAACAAUUAUGACGAAUGCUUGAAAUAUGUUGAGCUAAAUUGAAUAAAUGUGCUAGUUAUUUUACCUUAUUCUCUGGUGGAUUAGGUUCCAAGUCAACUUCAAUCAUCUCUGGUUCCAGUUUUUUCACCACCUCUGUCUUAGCUUCUUUGACAGUGUUUGCCUCACAACUUGCUUUAUCAGAAGCAAUAGGAGAUGAAAUAUUUGCUUUGCUGAGCAAGGCCUUCAUUUCAGCCAUCUCCUGCCUUGUCUUCUCCAUUUCCAUGGCCAUCUCUUUCUUGGCUUUCUCCAGCUCCGCGUCCCUCUCUCGAUCCCUCUCCAACAACUCAGCUUUGGUGAUUCUAUUUCUUCUUCCUGGUGGUAUAUUAAAAAAAAUUGACGGGCUCACAAAGCCUCCAACUCCUCGAACCCUCCCCGAAUGUUCAGGAGUUUGUAGGGCCGUAGUCAACACAUCUCGACUCCCAGAAGGAGUGAAUUCCCCCUUACUUUGCUGCUCUAGUAAAAUAUUCUGACAUGAAAAAUAUGAACAUACAAAUCAUCAUCUAGUGAACCUCAUCAUCAAUAUUAACUUUAAUUUUACGAGCCUUUUAAUUAUAAAUACUCACAAUUCUUUUUCCUAUUUCAGCUAGGUCUGAAUCCUCAUCAUCAGCAUCAUCAGCCUCAUCAUCAUCAUCAACAUUAUCAUUAUCAUCAUCAAUUUUAAUUUUACGAGCCUUUUGCCACAUGAGAGCCCGAUCAGGUUCUUCAUCGGCAGCCAAAGUUCCUUUCUUGAUCUGAUUAAAAUCAAAAAAAAAUUAAAAAGGCCAAGAUAUGUAAAAUACAAUUAUUUAGGUUCAAUGCUUAAAAUACAACUAUUUUUAUACCUCUUCUUCCAAUAAUCCAAUGUAACCCUUUCUUGAUGUCCGGUGAGGAUAUUUUCGAUUACUCACCCUCAGCUUUUGUUUUUCACUAAAAGACUUCAAAUAUUUUAAAUAAUAUUAGAAUACUAUUUUUCAGAAUAUAAAAAGACAUUUAUAUCACAAUAAAGCAGAACAUAAAAUAUAUUUCAUACCAGAAAUUUCGAGGUAGUCCUCUCAGCAACAAAAUUUUUCCAAGCCUCCUUUCCAACAAAAGCAUACUUCUUUGGAGGCUUUCGUAAUUUCUUCUUCUGCCCAAGAUACGGCCUCACAUAAUCUCUUGUUAAAUUUGCUUUAAAAUUCCUCCACUUUGCUCCUGCAGACCUGAUCAACCCCUUCUCAAGUUGCUUAGGAACUUUAAAUGUCUCCUGCAACCAAUGUUAAUUGACAAAAUUUACAAAAUUAUACUCUAAAUGAGUAGAAGAAAAUGCAAAAUUUACAAAAUGCAUAGGAGAUUACUUAUUUUUAUACCUUCACAUCAAUCCAUAUUUUCUCCUUUAGUUCAUCAGGUACCUUUGACCAGUUAGGAUAAUCAAUCGGAAUCAUUGUCCUAGCCAACAUUCCAGUGUAGGAUUGUAGACUGUGCCUUGCAUCCCCUGUAGGAACUCCAUGUGCAUUACAUGAAACCUUUGUUUUCUUGCCCUGCGCCUUCCUCACCACCACUUUAUACAUAGCAGAAACCCCUCGGGCACCCCCACGCUUUUUCUUUGCUGUUUCAGAUGUUGUAACUGUUGCAUCCGUUUCCUCCACAGAAUUCACAUUUUCUCCCUGAGGUUCUGUUGUCAGCUCCAACCUUUUAUCUGAUGCCUCAUCCGACUUUUUGGAGUCUUCAUGGAAUUGUACUUUGGUUUUUUGCUUUUUAUUUGCCAUUUAUCUUCUUCAAUCUGAAAAUGAAACAUAUAUAAUCCAUUAGUCACAGGCAUAUAUACGAGCAAUUACAGGAUAAGCAGUUAUAAAGUUACAUAAGCCUACAUAAGCCGUUACAAAAUUGUAAAAAUGCAUAACUAAACAUUUACACAGAGUGAAAAUUACAGGAGUCUAAUUACACAGAGUAAAUUACAAAGUUGCAUCACAUAUAUUACAUGACUUGAAAUAAUGUUAUCACAGAGUAAAUUACAAAGUCUCAUCACAAAAUUAACUAUUACAUGACUUGAAAUAAUGUUAUCACUUCUUAACCCAAGUGCCCUUAAUAUUUUCUCUAAUACUUUUCUCAACAUCAUCACCGACAUCACAUGUAGGAAUUUGGCAGCAGAAUGGAGGAUUUUCCAUGGUUGUGUCUCCUAAAUCAUCAUCGUUAUACACCUCUUGGUAGUCUCGAGUUGUAGAGGUUAAUACGACGGACCACUUGGCAUCCACCGGAUCUUCAAUAUAAUAAACUUGCUUUACUUGAUCUAUAGACACGUAUUUAUCUCUCUUGUGGCCUUGUCGACUUAGAUCGACAAGUGUGAACCCAAGAUCAUCCACCUUAAUUCCCUUGUCAUUGUCCGCCCAAUUACAUAAAAACAGUGGGGCUUUGAAUGCAUGAUAAUCCAGCUCCCAUAUAUCUAGGAUAACACCAUAAAAUGUCAAGUCACUUUCUACGGGGUUUAAAUCUUUAGCGCUAGACACUUGGACAGUUUUAGCAACUAAAGACACUCCGCUGUUUUGAACUACCCUCACAUUGUCUCGCUGUUUUGUAAAGUAUCGGACCCCGUCUACUAGAUAAGCUUCGUAAGUCAUAACUGAAAAUGAUGGUUUUCCAGCUAUCCAUCUUACUGUCUCUGAAACUCCUCCAGGAUUCUCCACCAUUUCACUACUGACCUACACAUUUCAUAAACAGAAAUUAUCCUAAAUUACUAUAGAGAAAAUAAAUUAGGCACAAAUGAAACUAUAAAAAUACUAACUUUUUCUAGAAACCAAUCAGCAAAACUGUUAUUGUGCUCUCUCAAGAGCCAAUGAACGCUUUUCUUUUUCCCACGAUGGAUUUCCUCUAGAUACUCCUUAUGCAUUCUGCCAAAAAUUAUAUAUUCAUUAAAGAAGUAGUUUAUACAGAAUGUAUAUAUUAAUUGAACAGCCACAAAAUUAAAAAAAUCUUACAAGAUAUAUGGCUGUACUUCAAGGUUGUUUAGAAGAACGUGUAAAUGAGCUUCAUCCCUCUCUUUUUCUUCGAUUGAUUUCAUUACCGCAACAGAUAAUGGACCACUUAACUUGCCUUCAUCUUUGCGAAGACCAGCAGUGGUGCAAGUUUGCUUGACAAACUCUUGGCAGAAUUCAAUCGAUUCUUCUCCAAGAUAACAUUCUGCUAUACAACCUUCGGGGUAGUAACGAUUGCGUACGUAACUCUUCAACACCUUAUUAAACCUCUCAAAUGCAUACAUCCAUCUAUAGAAGACUGGCCCACAUAACCGUAAUUCCCGAACCAAGUGCACUAUGAGAUGUAUCAUUACAUCAAAAAAUGAUGCAGGAAAAAUUUUUUCUAGCUCGCACAAAGUUACUAUUACAUCUGAUUGCAAUUUAUCUAGUUUAGAUACGUCGACAACUUUGCUGCAUAAAGCAUUAAAGAAGAAACACAAUCUAAUUAUUGUGACCCUGACUUUUUUUGGAAGUACCGCGCGAAUUGCAAUAGGAAGUAAUUGUUGAAGUAGGAUGUGGCAAUCGUGGGACUUCAACCCAAACAUUUUUAAUUCUUCCAUGGAAACACAGUUUUUAAUGUUUGACGCGUGUCCAUAAGGAAGUUUCAUGUGCAUUAACGAUGACAACAUCUUCUUCUUUUCUGCCUUGGACAAAUUAAAAAUCGAAGGAGGUAAAUAGGUCUUUCUUUCUCCUUUUUGUGGAGCUAGAUCAGCCCUAACCCCCAUGUCAAUCAUGUCAAGACGAGAAGCUUCACUAUCUUUAGACUUAUGUUUCAUAUUCAGUAGUGUGCCAAUCAAGCUAUCACACACGUUUUUCUCCACGUGCAUAACAUCUAGACAAUGACGGACAUGGUGAAAUUUCCAAUACUCUAACUCGAAGAAAAUUGACUUUUUCUUCCAUGGACAGUCAACCUUCUUUGACUUCCUUACUUCUUUCCCAAACUGAAAUUCAAUUUUUUCUUGCUGCAAUAAAACCUCUUCUCCCGAAAGAGGUUGACGUGCCUGCCCUAAUUCUUGUUGUCCAUUAAAAGCAGCUUUUUGCUUCCUAUAUGGAUGAUUUCUAGCCAAGUAACGUCGAUGACCUUGGUAACACAUCUUCCUACUAUGGCUUAAAUACUUUGCAACAGUAUCAUCACCACAUAUUGGACAAGACAUAUAACCUUUAUUAACACAUCCGGACAGAUUUCCAUAUGCGGGAAAGUCGUUUAUUGUCCACAAUAAAAUUGCUUUUAAAGUGAAAUACGACUUAGUGUGUGCAUCAUAGACAUUUGGUUCACCUUCCUCCCACAACUUCUUUAAAUCAUCGAUUAGAGGCUGUAAAUAUACAUCAAGGUCAUUACCAGGCUCAUGAGGACCGGGAACUAAAACUGUUAGCAUCAUAAACUUCCUCUUCAUGCAUAACCACGGAGGAAGAUUAUAAGUCACUAGUACUACUGGCCAACAAGUGUAUCUAUUGGUUAGACCGUUAUUAUGCGGGUUUAUACCAUCUGCAGACAACGCCAAGCGAAUAUUUCUUGCCUCACUACCGAAGGCAGGCCACCUAUAGUCGAUAUUUCUCCAAGAAGGAGAGUCGGCUGGAUGCCGCAUCUUUCCAUCUUCUAUUCGCUGCUUUGCGUGCCAGGUAAUCAGUUCAGAUGUAGAAGGAGAUUUAAACAUUCGCUUCAAUCUCGGAAUAAUUGGAAAAUACCACAUUAUUUUAGCAGGAACAUUAAUCCUUACUUUACCAUCCUUUCCUAACUUCCAGCGAGAUAGACUACACUUAGGACACUUAGAAGCAUCAACAUAUACCCCCCGAUAUAGUAUGCAAUCGUUUGGACAUGAGUGGUACUUUAUGUAUUCUAGGCCUAAGUUGGAUAAUGUUUUCUUGGCUUCAUAUGCAUUAGGUGGCAUCACAUUUUCCUUAGGAAGGAGAGAGCCAACAGUAGACAAUAAAUCUGUAAAGGCGCUAUCACUAAUUCCAAACCUUGCUUUCCAAUUAUGCAGUUUUAGCAUCGACUCCAAUUUGGUACAUUCACUACCCUCAUACAAAGGCUGUUGAGCAUCAGCCACAAAUCUCCUAAACUGAUACGACUCAUUAUUGUACUCACUCGAAUUAUACGCAGCAUCACAAACAUUGACUGUUUGUGAUGCAUGACCAGGGGAAUGCAUCGAUGCAGGGUCAAGCGUAGGUGCAGGGCUAGGGGCAUUGUCAUGAACUGUUGAUCCAGUGAUUCCACACCCUUGUGUGUGCCAAAUCCAAUCAAGGUAUCCCAAACUAAAACCGUAUUCAUAUAAAUGUCCCCUAAUAAUCUUAACUGCAAAUUUUUUAAAGUUAACACAUCUUUUGCAGGGGCAUGGGAUUUUUUUAGUAUCACUAGCAUUUUCCUCGGCAAAUAUUAAAAACUCUUCAACCCCGAUUUCAUAGUCAAGUGUAUCCCUAUCUUUGAAAAUCCAAGACUUGUCCAUGUUAUUCUCAAACUACCUGAUUGUCAAAUAUGAUAUCAAAUUACAUGGUAACAAAGAUCCAAACACAAUAUACAAUUACAUUUACAAACUAAACAAACACAAAUAUAUUUACACAGCUGUGCAUAAAACAUAAAAAACAAAUCCCAAGCUCUAAACAUAUAUAACACAGUACAUAAAAAAGAAACCCCAAGCUCCAAACAUAUAUAAAACAUAUAUACAACUACACGUUUAAUUUUCACAUGCAUACAUAUAACUACAAAAAGUUAUACUUGCAACCGAAACAUUUAUAUAAAUAUAAAGAAGAAUAUAGAAGAAUAUAUAUACCUAAAACCCAGCAGCUUCGAAACCCAGCACCUCCAAAAUCCAGCAGCUAUCCAGCAGCUUCGAAAACCCAGCAACUACCCUAAUCUCCAAGCUUCAAAUCUCCAAGCUUCAAAGAACCCUAAUCUCCAAGCUCCACUCGACCCUAAGCUUGAAGAUCGAACCUUAAGCUUGAACACAGCAGCUUCGAAUCGCGCACAAAUCGCACCUAGGGUUUAGAAGAGAGGGAAUCAGUUAAUAGAACAUUUGAAAGGGGGUUUAGAAGAGAGGGAAUCAGUUAUUAAACCAAGAACGAGGAUUGAAGGACUGAAGGAUUGAAGAAAAUCGCAUACCUAGGUUUAGCUGUCGAGAGAAAGGGGGAAGAGCUGCUGUCUGAAAGAAAUAUGUAUAUAUGUCCCGAUUGUUUUCUUUUGAAUGCUUUUGUUUUAAUUUUGAUUUAUUUUUAAUGUUUUUUUAUUGUUUUAUACUGAGGCGGGAGUGAAUGAUAUGUUAAAGGGGGGGAAAACAGUAGGGGGAACUAAUUAAAAAAUUGACUAAGGGCGGGGGAGCGGAGGGCGCGGGCUUUAAUAUUUUUAAAAUUGAGAUUAGACAUCGCUUAAUAAACAAUGUGAUGUGAAAAAAUUUUAAAGUGAGAGCUUAGACAUCACUUAUGUUAAGGACUGAUGUAAAGAUACCAGAAAGACAUCACAUAUAAAACGAGCGAUGUAAAAAAGGCAUUUUACAUCGGUGACACUUCCGACUGAUGUCUAAUGUGCGAUGUCUAUUGACGAAUUUCUAGUAGUCUCCAAAGGAUAUUUAUCUUUCCAUCAUGAUGCAGCAGUCUCCUUAACUGUGAAGGGAACGGAGUAUGAGGUAGCAAAGAACCUUCAUAUUUACACAGCCAUUGAUCUGUCGGGCACCUAAUUUCAGGGUCGAAUUCCAAACGUCACUGGAGAGCUUAGAUGGCUUGCAUUGCUCAAUUUAUCGCAUAAUAGUUUAACAGGACCUAUCCCAUCAUUGCUGAGAAAUAUGAAAGAACUCCAAUCUUUAGAUUUGUCCUCAAAUCGACUGACAGGGGCUAUUCCACCUCAGCUAACUGCAUUGACAUUUCUAGAGGUCUUGAACCUCUCGAAAAACCAUCUUAGUGGAGAGAUUCCUCAGAAAGGACAGUUCAGCACAUUCAACAAUGAUUCUUAUCUAGGAAACUCCGCGUUAUGUGGAUCACCUUUGACGAAGAAAUGUGCAAACACAGCAUCACCUCCACAAGAAGUCGGAAAUGGUGAUGAAGAUGAUGCUGGAGAUGAAUUGACAUGGGAAGCAAUCGUGAUGGGAUAUGGAUGUGGACUGAUAUGUGGAUUGUCAUCUGCGUACAUUGUUCUCAAACUAGGAAAGCCUUGGUGGUUUGUGAGAUAUAUCGAAGUACUGCAACUGAAGUUGAUGAAAAGAUAUGCAUGAAGAAUGGUACUGCACUACAACAAAAACAGCAUCACACAACGGUUUUUGCCCGUUGUCUGAUACCCAAGAAAACCGUGGUCUAUUGCGAUGCCGUCUGAUACGCGCCUCAGACAACGUUUUAUUAGUUAAAGGCUUGUCUAUAAGGCCAUGCUACGAUGGUAACAAAAACACUUGUAUGUUAGCUUCCUGGUCACACAACACUGUAUGGAACCCUUGUUUAAACGGCUCGUAAACAACACAACAAAUAAAACACUUGUCUAAUUACAACAACGGUUUCUUGAAAUAUUGUCUGAAGUUUCUUCACACAUCGGCUCUAAAAACAGUUGUCUAACGUGCAUCAUUACACAAUAUCACAGUUAAGAUACCGUUGUCUGAUUGAAUUUACUAGACAACACUUUUUAAACCGUUGUAGGUUGUAGGUGUUGGACAAUAGUUUUUCGAGGACGAAAAUAAAGUGUUGUGUCUUUGUUUCGGCCAACACUUUUUCCAGCGUCCGUUGUCUGACUAGUGUCGUGUGAUGCCAGUUUUGUUGUAGUGCUGGUUGAUCCAGACGAACUAGAAAGUUGUUGUCCUGGUAGACAUUUCUGAACCAUUUGUGUCCUGGCUGAAUAAGUAUUUGGUAUUAUGUAAUAAUCCGUUUGGUUGGGACUCAAAAUGAUUUCUCUUGCUUCAGGGGUAUUAAUAUUAACCUUCCUAUCUUGAUCAAUGUUAAAUCAAAUUAAAUGAAUGAAAAAACAAAAAGUAUGCAUCAAAUCCGCUCCUGCUGUACCUAACAAUUUAACAGCACCCUUCCACACUGUUCAUACCUAAUUUGCGUGUAAUAUGAAAACUAAGAGGCAUGGCUUUUGUCUUUGAGAGAACUUAUUCCAAGUCUUCUUCGGAGGCCUACUGCCUCAACAACCUUUCAAAGACUAUGCAAUAAUCCACGUGACAGAAAAACCAAAGUCCAAUUAGUAUUAUAAGUUCAUAAAAAAUACUAUAGGAUCAUUAGCAUUAGCAUUACAUUAGCAUACAGCAUAUAUAUAAAUAGAAGAAUGCAGUGUGGUAUUGGAUUCAUAAUCCAAUUGAGCAGAAACAUGGCACACUUUGUAAAGCCUUAUGACCUUCUUCUCUGUGUUUUCUUUCUCUCAUCACUUGAAUCCAUUCUUGCAACAAGACGAGAAGGAGAAGCUCUUGUGAAAUGGAAGAACAGCCUAGCCCCGUCUUCUUCUCUUGAUUCUUGGUCACUCACUCAUCUCGAUAAUCUUUGUAACUGGACUGGCAUUACUUGUAACUCUGCAGGUUCAGUCUCUGACAUUAACCUUUUCAACAAACAACUCACUGGAAAGCUUUUCGAGUUUGGUUUCACUUCAUUUCCGAAUCUCAACAAUCUCACCCUCGCAGAUAACUUCUUCUCUGGUCCAAUACCAUCAGCCAUUGGGAAUUUAACACAGCUUCAAUAUCUUGAUUUGAGCAAUAAUUAUCUCAAUGGUUCCAUUCCGUACCAGGUUAGCCAUCUUUCAAAAUUACACGUCUUAAACCUGUCAGAGAAUGAACUGCAAGCUCCAAAUUGGUCCAAUUUCUCCCCCAUGCCUUAUUUGACCAUCCUCGACCUUUAUCAGAAUAAUCUUAUGUUGGAAUUUCCAGAAUUUAUAUCUAACUCGCGUAACCUGACAUACCUUGACCUUUCAUAUAACAAGUUCACAGGCGAUCUUGUGCGCGAAUCAGUAUUAGCCAAUCCAGGUGAUCUCGAAACCCUCUAUCUUAAUGAAAAUUCUUUUGGGGGGCCAUUUCCACCAGACAUAUUCAAACUUUCCAAGUUGAGAGUUCUUGCCCUGUUCAAUAAUCUUUUUGAGGGGCCGCUUCCGUCAAAUAUAUUCAAGCUCUCUAAACUAAGAUUCCUUUUACUUUGGAGUAAUAAUUUUUCAGGUACUCUUUCGAAUGAAAUAGGUUUGCUUUCUGAGCUUGAAGACCUAGAUCUUCACUCCAAUUUUUUUGUGGGGCCGCUUCCGCCAAAUAUAUUCAAGCUCUCUAAACUAAGAACCCUUUUCCUCUUGGGUAAUAACUUCUCAGGUUCUAUUUCCAACGACAUAGGUUUGCUUUCUGAGCUUGAACACCUAUAUCUCGACUCCAAUUCUUUUGAGGGACCUUUUCCAACAAAUAUUUUCAAGCUUUCCAAAUUAAUACAACUUGGUCUCGCAAACAAUACAAAUUUAUUUGAAGGAAGUAUUCCUCCAGGACUGGGGCUCUUGACUAACCUAGAGGACUUGUCUCUUGCUUACAAUAAUCUUGGUGGCUAUAUUCCGUCUUCCUUUGGAAACCUAACACUACUAGUAUAUCUUAAUCUCGCUCGUAAUCAAUUGGUUGGAACACUAUCAAAGACCAUUUCUAAUCUCACAAAUCUAUGGUUUCUUGAUGUACAUCAUAAUAGUCUCUCUGGGAAUAUUCAGAGUGACUUCUGGAAAAACUCUACAUCACUGCGUUACAUUAAUUUGGCAGACAAUAAUUUUUCUGGGAACAUUCCUAAGGAAUAUAAUGUUCUUCCAAUCCUGGAUCACAUCAAUUUUAGGGGGAACAAUUUUACAGGUAUUUUUCUUUCCAUAUUUUUUCCUUCUGUUGUAUUCAAUUAUGCUAGAAACUACAGCCUCUGUUUUUUCAAAUACAUAUCGUUUAACUUUUUGGCACAAAACUUUAUAAUAAUUCUAACUAAAAGGUCAAUGAACUCAAAAAUGUGUGUCAAAAAGUCAAACGUCAUUUAUCUGAAAUCAGAGGGAGUAUAUAUUACUGUUUUACCAAAGUUUCAACAAUCAUGACAGGUGAGCUUCCACCAACAAUUUGCGAUGCCACUUCCCUUUCGAUUCUUGAUCUGUCAAAUAAUGGAUUUAGUGGUGCAGUUCCACAUUGUUUGGGGAAUCUUGCGGAUAAAUUGAUUUCGAUUAAUCUUGCUAAUAAUCAGUUUCAAGGACCAAUACCAACAAAUUUCUCCGAGAGUUGUCGUCUGACGUAUCUUAACAUCUAUAACAAUCACUUCAAAGGUUUGGUUCCCCAAUCUUUGGCAAACUGUAAGCACUUGCAAAUUCUUGAUUUUGGAAAAAAUGAAAUAGGUGGAACACUUCCGUCAUGGUUUUUUACUCUUGGAGAGCUAGAAGUCCUGAUCCUGCGAUCAAACAGAUUUUUCGGGAGAAUAACUAGAAGGAGCAUACCACGCCCCUUUCCCAAGUUGCGGAUUUUGGAUCUAUCCAACAAUCAGUUCACCGGCUAUCUGCCAAUUUUAUACUUCAAGAAUAUGAAACCAAAUGAUAAUAAUUAUGAUUAUUUCAACAACACAAACGAAGCCUAUUACGUUUAUCAAGUUUCUAUCACAUUAAAUGUGAAAGGAAGCGAGCAUGAAGUGACAAAUAUUCUUCAUAUUUACACGGCCAUUGAUCUGUCGUGCAACAAAUUUGAAGGAAAAGUUCCAGACAUUACCGGAGAGCUUAGAUGGCUUGCAUUGCUAAAUUUAUCUCAUAAUAGUCUUUCGGGGCCUAUUCCAUCACAACUGGGAAAAAUGAAAGAGCUCCAGUCUCUAGAUUUGUCGUCAAAUCAAUUGACAGGUGUUAUUCCGGAUCAACUUACUAGUAUGACAUUUCUUGCUAGUUUGAACCUCUCAGAAAACCAUCUUUCUGGGAAAAUCCCUCGGAAAGGACAGUUCAGCACUUUUGGCGAAGAAUCUUACUUAGGUAAAUCGGCCUUGUGUGGAGUUCCUUUGACAAAGAACUGUAUAGACGAUGUGCCACCUUCACAAGUUGGAAAUGGCAAUGAUGAAAAUGUUGAUGAAGAUGAUACCGUUGAUGAAUUCAAUUGGAAAGUGAUCCUGAUGGGAUAUGCAUGUGGAUUAAUAGGCGGAUUGUCUGCAGGAUACAUUGUCUUCACAGUCGGAAAGCCUUGGUGGUUUUUGAGAUACAUUGAGACACUGCAGCAGAAGUUGAUCUGAUGCGCAACUAGAAACAACGUUAUAAUCUUAGAAUGACUUGUGUCUUUAAACAGAGUUAGGAACUUAGGAUGACUUGUGGUGCUAUAUUUUUUUUUUGAAAAAAAAAAACAUAUUUUUGUAAUUUUUUAGAUACAGAUGUUAAGAAGGUGUUGUAUAUUCAUUUUUUACCCAAAAAAAAAAAGAGGGCUUAUUUCAUGAAAAUUAGAGUUUUAUGUAUUUUCUCCAGAAAUUAGUCCUUAUUUCUGAAAAUAAGGUUAGUCAAAACGGUCACUACACGAUUGGUAGCCUUUCAGUUCUUCCUAGUGUCCACUACAGUUUCAUUCCUUACCAGUUAUUUUAUGCUCUGCACUGCAUUAUGCAGCUUUCAUAUUACUGACAGCUAAUCUCCUUCCAACACUUUGCGAUGCGAAGCAGGGACGCAUAAGUAUUUUUAUAUGUGUAUUAGUUUUGAAGAUUAAAGUUGCAUGGACAAUUGUGUUGAUAAUUUGAGCAAUGUUAACCGGGAUAGGUCUUCUUCUCUCUCCCAAGUCUUCUGAGGACUCAUCGGCUCAGAUUAGUCUAUCCAAAAAUUAUGAUCUGACGGCUAUUGGCACACUAACGAUUUACAUAUCACUUGAAUAUUACUGGAUACCCGCAUCUUGUUUUAAAUGGCGUAUAUCGGCUAAUAGUUCAACGAUGGUGACAAAUCCCGGUGAUCCAAAUAAUUGAUUGUCGCAAAAUUUUCCGCUUACAUCCAACUAACACGUAUUAGGAAAAAAAAUUAUAUAAUUAAACACGCUCAUGUAUCUAUAUCUUUUACAAGAUUGUAAGUCCCCAAUUCUAUGUGAUAUUAGCUAUAUGUGACUAGAAGGUUUAGAAAUACUAGAUUAUCAAGAUUUCUUUUUAUUCUAGCUAGUGUUGAGUUAUAUUUAUUUUCUUCAAACAAUCAAUACUUAUUUUUUAUUAAUAUGUGAAACUCCAAUAUAUAUUAUUAUACGAUAUAUUAUGAAAACACUAUAUUUUGUAAUGUUCAUCUUAUCCUACCAGCAAAAUUACAUCGCUAACAAAAUUAUAUCAAUUUUAUUUUAUAAACUCAAAUAAUUUAAUUUAUGAAACAACUCUAUGAGAUUCUUAUCAUGAGUUAGAAUUCAAAUAAAUAAAGAGUUCAUAUUGAUAAGUGGAAUUGAUGUGCAAGUAAGGGGUAUAAAAAAAUCUCAAAAUAACUCCAAAAAGCACAUGACAUGUUUGAUUUAAUAGAACUGGUACAUAAACAGGGGGACCAUUAUAUUUAUAAGCAAGUGACCAACAAUAGUUUACUACUGAUAUUUUGUGAUAUUUUUUGUGAUAUUUUUUGAGACCUUUAACAUUAUUCUGUGAAGUGGUAUACUACUGUUACUAGUUCUGAAACUUCAAACAAAGUAGGCGCAACAUUGUAAGAGUGAUUAAUAAAGUUGAGAAACAGUGUGUACAUUGAGCAGUAUGACAAUCAGGUUCAGCAUAUAAUACAAUCAGAUUCACAAUCAGGUUCACGAGAAACAUGCUGCAUUCCAAAAAGCCUUAUUAUCUUCUUCACUAAAUAACAAGGCAAAUACAGCAUAUAAAUACAAGUUAUAAGUACAAGUGUGGUAUUAGAUUCAUAACCCAGUUGAGGAGAAACAUGGCACACUUUGUAAGGCCUUCUCACCUUCUUCUCUUUGUUUUCUUUCUCUCAUCACUAGAAUCCAUUCUUGCAACAAGACGAGAGGGGGAAGCUCUUGUGAAGUGGAAGAAUAGCCUAGCCCCUUCUUCUUUUCUCCACUCUUGGUCACUCUCCAAUCUCGAAAAUCUUUGCAACUGGACUGGCAUUACUUGUAACUCUGCAGGUUCAGUCUCUGAGAUUGACCUUUGUGAGAAACAACUUGAUGGAAUGCUGUCCGAGUUUGGUCUCACUUCAUUUCCAAAUCUCAACAAUCUCACCCUCGCAGACAACUUCUUCUCAGGUCCAAUACCACCAGCCAUUGAGAAUUUAACACAGCUUCAAUAUCUUGAUUUAAGCAUGAAAAGUCUUAAUGGUCCCAUUCCGUUCCAGGUUAGCCAUCGUCAGAGCUUGCUCAUCUUAGACCUGUCACAGAAUGCAUUGCAAGCUUCAAAUUGGUCCAAUUUCUCUCCCAUGCCUCAGUUGCGCUUCCUCAAGCUCAGUAGCAAUCAUCUUGUGUCGAAAUUCCCAAAUUUUAUAUCCAGUUCUCAUAGCCUGACUUACCUCAACCUCUCAUAUAACAUUGGAAACCUCAAAAAAUAUAUAUUUAUAUAUUUAUAAUUAAAAAAUUGAAUUACUUAAUAUAUUAAAAAAUUGAAUAAAAUUUUAUAUAUUUUAUUAAAAAAUUGAAUAAAAAUUGAAUAAAAUUGAAUAAAAUUGAAGUACACGAAAAGGUACACGACACGAAAUACACGACUGAGAAGUCGUGUCGGUUUUGUGUUUACCCUUCGGGUACACGACACGAGGUACACGAAAUAAAUAAAUAAAUAUAUAUAUAUAUAUUUACCCUUCGGAUUAAGAGUUGGUCGC